RNAcentral lists this ribosomal RNA (232 nucleotides) under uncultured bacterium. Its description in RNAcentral is "partial 16S ribosomal RNA". It matches the Rfam family "Bacterial small subunit ribosomal RNA", at positions 100 to 334 of the family's 1533-position model. The record is from RNAcentral.
CGGAACGGGUGAGUAAUAUAUCGGAACGUGCCCAGUAAUGGGGGACAGCCCGGCGAAAGCCGGAUUAAUACCGCAUACGACCUACGGGUGAAAGCGGGGGAUCGCAAGACCUCGCGUUAUUGGAGCGGCCGAUAUCAGAUUAGCUUGUUGGCGGGGUAAAGCCCACCAAGGCGACGAUCUGUAGCUGGUCUGAGAGGACGACCAGCCACACUGGGACUGAGACACGGCCCAG